This 486-nucleotide ribosomal RNA is filed under the name uncultured bacterium. RNAcentral describes it as "bacterial SSU rRNA". It matches the Rfam family "Bacterial small subunit ribosomal RNA", at positions 30 to 507 of the family's 1533-position model. The record is from RNAcentral.
AUUGAACGCUGGCGGCAUGCUUUACACAUGCAAGUCGAACGGCAGCACGGGCUUCGGCCUGGUGGCGAGUGGCGAACGGGUGAGUAAUGCAUCGGAACGUGCCCAUUUGUGGGGGAUAACUACGCGAAAGCGUGGCUAAUACCGCAUACGCCCUGAGGGGGAAAGCGGGGGAUUCUUCGGAACCUCGCGCAAUUGGAGCGGCCGAUGUCAGAUUAGCUUGUUGGUGAGGUAAAGGCUCACCAAGGCGACGAUCUGUAGCGGGUCUGAGAGGAUGAUCCGCCACACUGGGACUGAGACACGGCCCAGACUCCUACGGGAGGCAGCAGUGGGGAAUUUUGGACAAUGGGGGCAACCCUGAUCCAGCCAUGCCGCGUGAGUGAAGAAGGCCUUCGGGUUGUAAAGCUCUUUCAGCCGGGAAGAAAACGCACUCUCUAACAUAGGGUGUGGAUGACGGUACCGGACCAAGAAGCACCGGCUAACUACGUG